UACGUAGGGUGCAAGCGUUGUCCGGAAUUAUUGGGCGUAAAGAGCUCGUAGGCGGUUUGUUGCGUCGGCUGUGAAAUCCCGAGGCUCAACCUCGGGUCUGCAGUCGAUACGAGCAAACUAGAGUGUUGCAGGGGAGACUGGAAUUCCUGGUGUAGCGGUGAAAUGCGCAGAUAUCAGGAGGAAUACCGGUGGCGAAGGCGGAUCUCUGGGCCUUGCCUGACGCUGAGGCGCGAAAGCUAGGGGAGCGAACAGG
This 253-nucleotide ribosomal RNA is filed under the name uncultured bacterium. RNAcentral describes it as "partial 16S ribosomal RNA". It matches the Rfam family "Bacterial small subunit ribosomal RNA", at positions 524 to 776 of the family's 1533-position model. The record is from RNAcentral.